Molecule: ribosomal RNA, 245 nt
Filed under: uncultured bacterium
Lineage: Bacteria
Description: partial 16S ribosomal RNA
Rfam family: Bacterial small subunit ribosomal RNA
Source: RNAcentral
UACAGAGGUGGCGAGCGUUGUCCGGAUUGACUGGGCGUAAAGGGCGCGUAGGCGGCUUGGUAAGUCAACCGUAAAAUCUCCGGGCUUAACCCAGAGUUCGCGGUUGAAACUGCUUUGCUUGAGUAUAGGAGAGGAGAGUGGAAUUCCUGGUGUAGCGGUGGAAUGUGUAGAGAUCAGGAAGAACACCGGUGGCGAAGGCGGCUCUCUGGUCUAAUACUGACGCUAAUGCGCGAAAGCUAGGGGAG